CCUACGGGGGGCAGCAGUAGGGAAUCUUCCACAAUGGGCGAAAGCCUGAUGGAGCAACGCCGCGUGGGUGAAGAAGGUCUUCGGAUCGUAAAACCCUGUUGUUAGAGAAGAAAGUGCGUGAGAGUAACUGUUCACGUUUCGACGGUAUCUAACCAGAAAGCCCCGGCUAACUACGUGCCAGCAGCCGCGGUAAUACGUAGGUGGCAAGCGUUAUCCGGAUUUAUUGGGCGUAAGGGGAACGCAGGCGGUCUUUUAAGUCUGAUGUGAAAGCCUUCGGCUUAACCGGAGUAGUGCAUUGGAAACUGGGGGACUGGAGUGCAGAAGAGGAGAGUGGAACUCCAUGUGUAGCGGUGAAAUGCGUAGAUAUAUGGAAGAACACCAGUGGCGAAAGCGGCUCUCUGGUCUGUAACUGACGCUGAGGUUCGAAAGCGUGGGUAGCAAACAGGAUUAGAUACCCUGGUAGUC
Molecule: ribosomal RNA, 465 nt
Filed under: uncultured bacterium
Lineage: Bacteria
Description: partial 16S ribosomal RNA
Rfam family: Bacterial small subunit ribosomal RNA
Source: RNAcentral